RNAcentral lists this ribosomal RNA (433 nucleotides) under uncultured bacterium. RNAcentral describes it as "partial 16S ribosomal RNA". It matches the Rfam family "Bacterial small subunit ribosomal RNA", at positions 29 to 507 of the family's 1533-position model. The record is from RNAcentral.
AAUGAACGCUGGCGGCAUGCCUAACACAUGCAAGUCGAACGAAGGCUUCGGCCUUAGUGGCGCACGGGUGCGUAACGCGUGGGAAUCUGCCCCUUGGUUCGGAAUAACAGUUAGAAAUGACUGCUAAUACCGGUUGAUGACGUAAGUCCAAAGAUUUAUCGCCGAGGGGUGAGCCCGCGUAGGAUUAGCCAGUUGGUGUGGUAAGAGCGCACCAAGGCGACGGUCCUUAGCUGGUCUGAGAGGAUGAUCAGCCACACUGGGACUGAGACACGGCCCAGACUCCGACGGGAGGCAGCAGUGGGGAAUAUUGGACAAUGGGCGAAAGCCUGAUCCAGCAAUGCCGCGUGAGUGAUGAAGGCCUUAGGGUUGUAAAGCUCUUUUACCCGGGAUGAUAGUGACAGUACCGGGAGAAUAAGCUCCGGCUAACUCCGUG